Molecule: long non-coding RNA, 1399 nt
Filed under: Triticum aestivum (bread wheat)
Lineage: Eukaryota; Viridiplantae; Streptophyta; Magnoliopsida; Poales; Poaceae
Description: long non-coding RNA (TAES_LNC008311)
Source: RNAcentral
CAUCUCGAGGCCGAUGGUAUUGCACUGCUUCCAUUGCCCUUAAUUUGAUUAUUUGUUAUUUUUGCAAUGCAAUAUUCUUUGUCAUUCAUCCAGCAACUGAUUGCUGGUUGUAAUUUAUGUUCAUCGUCCUCCUAGUUGCUUCCUGUAUAUAGGUAUUCCAAAAAUAUGUACCCUCAGUUUGCGGCAAAUCUUUUUCUUAAUGUUUCAAAAAUUGAUGCUUCCACCUAACAAUAAUAAUGUUUCAAAAUCAUCAGUGAUUUCGCGGUAAUUAGUAUGUAGAUCACACAAAUAUGCUGCCACAUGUUGGCAGCCAUAUUUGUGAAUUUCCAUUUCAAAUUUCCGUGCUUCCAAUUAAGAUUAGAGAUAGCACUAUUUUCAUGCUUAUGAGGUACAAUAUGUGGUUCUUCGAUCGAAAUAAUUUGCCACCAUGGAUACUUGCUUCUUUUCUUUUGUCAUUGUCAUUGUAAUGUAAACAAUGCCCUCGUACUUCCUACAUUUAUCAUAUAUGUUGCUCAAGAUUCCAGUCAAUUUUUUCACAUUACCGAUGUGGCACAUCUAUUUUGCGGAAUUAGACACUAAUUGUAAUGCCCUGCUUCCAUGAUGUACUUCUGUUUUGUUAAUUCAUAUUAAUGUUUUGCCAUUAUAUUUGACAGCAUCUCGUGUUUCAGACUAUUUAUCCUUAAUUUCAGCUCACCCCUAAUCAUCAUAAAGCAUGUCAUAAAAUUGAUGCUUCCAUAUAUCCAUGCUUCCUAAGGAGUAUAUAUUUGUUUCUUCAGUCAACAUAGUUUGCAUCAAUCGAUCCAUGCUUCUACCCUUUUUGUGUCCCUUUGUGUGUGUUGUUUUAAGUGCUGAGGUGUUGUAUUUUUAACAUCGACCCCGUGUUGUCACUGGCUCAGACAUGCUCACUCCGAGAACGCUUGCUAUUGGUAUACUGGUUCCUGAGUUCUCUCGAGACGAGCUUAGCACCGUUGAAUCUAGAGAUUCCAUCCAACGAUCUCACCGGCGUGGUGCAUCAUUGAUCUCAAACGUGCUACCUGCCAGUGUGGUUGGUUCCAGCACUCGGGUCGAGUAAACGUGGCUGCGAUCCAGCGGACACACAAAUCCCAUCGAUCGCCAUUCCUUGCGCCCACCACCUCAUGCAACCGGCCAGCCGUGCUAAUGCUCCACCUCUUUACCAGUGGCACCCAUGUUAGAUGGGAACCUACUUGAAUCUGAACUUGCUUACAGAAAUAUAUGUAAUUGUUGUCUGAAACUAAAUUUCUCUCUUUAGAAGCAUAUUUUGGUUAUGAUUGAAACAGAUGUAAUUGUUGCUUCCCAGAUGUAAUCUGUCCAAGCCGUUUGUUAAUGUUGUAUCCAACAUUGCUCUAUUUUGCUUCCUACUCAUUAGAAUGAUGCUUUU